Fukomys damarensis (Damara mole-rat) is the source of this 318-nucleotide long non-coding RNA. RefSeq lists it as uncharacterized. The record is from RefSeq and is a predicted model, not a curated record. The transcript is spliced from 3 exons. Lineage: Eukaryota; Metazoa; Chordata; Mammalia; Rodentia; Bathyergidae.
AGAUCCCCUACUUCUCCAUGACUUAGACGUCGUCCCUGUGGGACUCCCCCCAUUUACGCAGAUGGGGAGGUGUCCCUGACAUGAAGACUUAAAAAGCCCCAGAUCCAGAACAAGAUGGGAAAACUCACCGGAAAGAGUUAAUGCAAUCACGGGGCUCUGGAAAGGAGCAGAAUAUGAAAGGGCCCAGAGGUCUGGCAGCAACGGCCUUGGCUCUUCUCCUGGCGUCGGCAGUGCUUGGAGACCCCCGCCGCGCUCCGCAGAGACCUGUGGCGAGAAGGAACUGGACCCCGCAGGCUAUGCUGUACCUGAAGGGCGCAC